CCUACGGGGGGCAGCAGUGAGGAAUAUUGGUCAAUGGCCGGAAGGCUGAACCAGCCAAGCCGCGUGAAGGACGAAGGUGCCAAGCAUUGUAAACUUCUUUUGUCAAGGGACAAAAUCAGGCUCGCGAGCCUGACCGAGGGUACUUGAAGAAAAAGCAUCGGCUAACUCCGUGCCAGCAGCCGCGGUAAUACGGAGGAUGCGAGCGUUAUCCGGAUUUAUUGGGUUUAAAGGGUGCGUAGGCGGGCUGUUAAGUCAGCGGUAAAAGCCCGGGGCUCAACCCCGGCGAGCCGUUGAAACUGGCAGUCUGGAGUUGGAGAGAAGUAUGCGGAAGGCGUGGGGUCGCGGUG
This 347-nucleotide ribosomal RNA is filed under the name uncultured bacterium. RNAcentral's name for it is "partial 16S ribosomal RNA". It matches the Rfam family "Bacterial small subunit ribosomal RNA", at positions 338 to 683 of the family's 1533-position model. The record is from RNAcentral.